UACUUUCUUCGGUUCCAUCGCCUUUGCGCCGACAUAACCACUGCCGUUGAGUUAUACCAACUGUACUGUUCCUUGCCACUUCCCUUUUUGGGGGUUUUUCUUUUGCUUUAGCUUUAUAUUAUUAGCUUCUGUAUCUACAUCUGAAUUCUGCUUCAGCUAUCCAAGAUGCGCAUAACGGGAGAUAGCCGAAAGCUUCAGUGUCGACGAUCUCACCUAUCCUUAAACCCUCAACCUUAUUUGAUAGUACUUCAUGUGCUUGCCUCCUAUGUUUUACAGCAGAGAGUUUGGAUAGGGAUGUUUUUGUAUCUUGCAUGUUUCGUAGAAUGCGCUUGAAUUUCUCCAGUAAAUUUAGAAUAAUUUUUUGUGAACCCUAAGGAUAGACAGACCUUAUUAGCACUCUCAAAGUGAGCUAUCCUAACCCACUGUUGAUAAAUUUAGAAUAAUUUUUUGUGAGCCCUAAGGAUGGACGGACCUUAUUAUCACUCUCAAAGUGAGGUUUCCUAACCCAUUGUUGAGAUAUUGAGGAGGAUUCAGGUAAGGUACCAUAUCUUGAAAUACUCAAGUUCUAUUACUUUUUGUAGAUUGACUUGGGUCAAUUUUUUAUAAGACAUAAAUGGUGCUUCUACUUUCAGAUAGAUAACACGUUGCACAAAUUGCGUAAUUAAUAUGCUUGUUAGCUAUCACUGAUUCUAUAUGGGUCUCAAUUAUUUGAGGCUUUGAGCUAUGAUAAAUAGUUGUUUCAAGUAAAAUUAGAGUAGAUUUCUAGACUUUCCAUAACUUGAAAUGAGGAUAAAAAGAAAAACGAUGAGGAAGAUAUUUAUACUCCACUCAACCCUAGUUAAUCUUCUUAUUAAGGAGAUCAAUUCAAACUUUUAGGUUGAAGUAUUGGAUAUUGUUUUGGAUAGAGUAACAACUCUUAGGCAAUUAGAUAAAUAAUAUUACUUAUACCUUUGCGGUGACACUUGUUUGAGAAGGCAUAACAAAAUACCUCGCAAAGGUAUUCUUUAAUCAAGUGCAACAAUCCGGUGAAUAGGUAGUGCCUCUAAAUUGCAGAUGAAAGUAAGUAUAAAUAGCCAAAUUGGAGCCUUGGGUGCUUAAACCGUAAACUGAAAAAUUUGGAUUUACUGAUUAUGGAUAUGUAACUCCUUUUUUGGCUACCUUUUCUCGCUACUUGCUGCAUGCAAUGCACCAAAGCUGUAAACUUUUUCUUUUAUAUUUAGUAAUUGGUUAUUCGGAGUUGGAAUCUUGAGCUGUUGAUUUUAGUAUACUCAUCAUUGCCAAUUGCCUAUUGGAUGAUCUUGAAUAUCAUAGGUGUAUAUAAGUAGUAUCGUUAAACUGAAAUGCUGAUCAUUGCUCUGUAUUAGGAAAUUUAUACCAUAUGUUUGAAUUAGUACCAAUAUGCUAUUAUAAGUUAUAAUUUUAUGAUUUAUGUUCUUUUUAUUAGGAAGUUGAUCAGAGAGAUAUUUGGUUUAGAUGGAAUAGAUGGUUUUUUUUGACUCAGUAAAUGAGCUAAUGGUGCCAUGGCUUUUGUUCAAGUGCUCAGGUGAUGUUUCUUGGAGACAAAUGAAUCUUACAUAUGAUAUCUUGGCAUCCUAGAAAUUUCUGGAGAUCUAUGCUUUAAGAUAUCCCAACAUCCUUGAAAUUGUUAGAUAUCAAUACUUACGUUAAUCCAAAUGUAUCUCAUUUUUGCCAACUCGAUCUUCUUUUCAAUUUUGUUCAACACUUUAAUGUUCCUUGUGAUUUUCUUCUCAUCUCAACAUUGGUUACUUUCUAGCGAGUGUUCAUCAUGGUUUUGUUUUCCUCUUAUAUGAUGACCUAUCAUUACUUUGCUUCCAUCUGGCAAUCUUUGGUGUGCUUAGGGAUUGGUUUACCUGAAAUAUGGAGCAGACAACGGGGAUAAAAGAGUUCUUGGAUGAUGUAAAAGCCCGAGGAGGCCAAGUCGGUUGGAGAUCGACAUUGCAUAUCCAAG
Molecule: long non-coding RNA, 1969 nt
Filed under: Nicotiana benthamiana
Lineage: Eukaryota; Viridiplantae; Streptophyta; Magnoliopsida; Solanales; Solanaceae
Description: long non-coding RNA (NBEN_LNC019059)
Source: RNAcentral